Molecule: ribosomal RNA, 771 nt
Filed under: uncultured bacterium
Lineage: Bacteria
Description: bacterial SSU rRNA
Rfam family: Bacterial small subunit ribosomal RNA
Source: RNAcentral
AGAGUUUGAUCCUGGCUCAGGACGGACGCUGGCGGCGUGCUUAACACAUGCAAGUCGAACGGAAAGGCCCUUCGGGGUACUCGAGUGGCGAACGGGUGAGUAACACGUGGGUGAUCUGCCCUGCACUUUGGGAUAAGCCUGGGAAACUGGGUCUAAUACCGAAUAUGACCAUGCGCCUCCUGGUGUGUGGUGGAAAGCUUUUGCGGUGUGGGAUGGGCCCGCGGCCUAUCAGCUUGUUGGUGGGGUAACGGCCUACCAAGGCGACGACGGGUAGCCGGCCUGAGAGGGUGACCGGCCACACUGGGACUGAGGUACGGCCCAGACUCCUACGGGAGGCAGCAGUGGGGAAUAUUGCACAAUGGGCGCAAGCCUGAUGCAGCGACGCCGCGUGAGGGAUGACGGCCUUCGGGUUGUAAACCUCUUUCAGCACAGACGAAGCGCAAGUGACGGUAUGUGCAGAAGAAGGACCGGCCAACUACGUGCCAGCAGCCGCGGUAAUACGUAGGGUCCGAGCGUCGUCCGGAAUUACUGGGCGUAAAGAGCUCGUAGGUGGUUUGUCGCGUUGUUCGUGAAAACUCACAGCUUAACUGUGGGCGUGCGGGCGAUACGGGCAGACUAGAGUACUGCAGGGGAGACUGGAAUUCCUGGUGUAGCGGUGGAAUGCGCAGAUAUCAGGAGGAACACCGGUGGCGAAGGCGGGUCUCUGGGCAGUAACUGACGCUGAGGAGCGAAAGCGUGGGGAGCGAACAGGAUUAGAUACCCUGGUAGUCC